This is a non-coding RNA of Pelobates cultripes (western spadefoot toad), 322 nucleotides long. NCBI's taxonomy places the organism in Eukaryota, Metazoa, Chordata, Amphibia, Anura, Pelobatidae. The record is from the annotation of a GenBank genome assembly.
CACAGUAACAGAGGGAUUGAGGGCCUGCUCAGUGAGUUUACAUGUUAGAGGGAGUGAGGUAUAGUGACAGUAACAGAGGGAUUGAGGGCCCUGCUCAGUGAGUUUACAUGUUAGAGGGAGUGGGGUAUAGUGACAGUAACAGAGGGAUUGAGGGCCCUGCUCAGUGAGUUUACAUGUUAGAGGGAGUGGGGUAUAGUGACACAGUAACAGAGGAUUGAGGGCCUGCUCAGUGAGUUUACAUGUUAGAGGGAGUGGGGUAUAGUGACACAGUAACAGAGGGAUUGAGGCCCUGCUCAGUGGGUUUACAUGUUAGAGGGAGUGG